Molecule: ribosomal RNA, 370 nt
Filed under: uncultured organism
Description: partial 16S ribosomal RNA
Rfam family: Bacterial small subunit ribosomal RNA
Source: RNAcentral
GUAGGGAGCAAGCGUUGUUCGGAAUUAUUGGGCGUAAAGAGCGCGUAGGCGGCUAGGCAAGUCUGAUGUGAAAUCCCACAGCUCAACUGUGGAACUGCAUUGGAAACUGCUUAGCUGGAGUGCGGGAGAGGAGAGUGGAAUUCCCAGUGUAGAGGUGAAAUUCGUAGAUAUUGGGAGAAACACCGGUGGCGAAGGCGGCUCUCUGGACCGCAACUGACGCUGAGGCGCGAAAGCUAGGGGAGCGAACGGGAUUAGAUACCCCGGUAGUCCUAGCCGUAAACGAUGGGCACUAGGUGUGGGAGGUAUCGACCCCUUCUGUGCCGCAGCUAACGCAUUAAGUGCCCCCGCCUGGGAGUACGGUCGCAAGCUA